UCCUUCUCUCUCUCUCCUUCUCU
This 23-nucleotide small nuclear RNA is filed under the name Arabidopsis thaliana (thale cress). RNAcentral describes it as "snRNA_07061". The record is from RNAcentral. Lineage: Eukaryota; Viridiplantae; Streptophyta; Magnoliopsida; Brassicales; Brassicaceae.